This 963-nucleotide ribosomal RNA is filed under the name Triticum aestivum (bread wheat). Its description in RNAcentral is "partial small subunit ribosomal RNA". Lineage: Eukaryota; Viridiplantae; Streptophyta; Magnoliopsida; Poales; Poaceae. The record is from RNAcentral.
CAGGGGGUGCAACGAAAUGGGGAAGCAAUUGCUGUCAAGAAGAUCGUGUCUUUCUUAAUGUCAAGCCAGAAACAAUUUGAAAAUGAGGUCUAUCAUCUUAUGAUGCUUAAGCACCGCAAUAUAGUGCGAUUUGUAGGCUACUGCUACGAAACAAAAAAUGAGUGUUUAGAGUACAAGGGGAAAUAUGUUUUUGCUGAGAUGGUGGAAAAGUUAAUUUGCUUGGAGUAUAUGCCCAACGGAAGCCUUGAUAAGUAUAUAUCGGAUGAAACUUCUGGACUUAAUUGGAGCACACGCUAUAAAAUAAUCGAGGGGAUCUGCUAUGGUUUACACCAUCUUCAUACAGAAAUUGAUAAGCCUAUUAUUCACCUGGACCUAAAACCUUCAAACAUAUUGCUCGAUGAUGGUAUGGUGCCGAAAAUCACAGACUUUGGUCUGUCAAGACUGUUUGGUCAACAAACUAUUUGCACCUCAUCUCGUGAUGGGACAUUUGGUUACAUGGCACCGGAAUUUUUGCACGGAGGUACAAUGACACCAAAAUCAGAUAUAUUCAGUUUGGGUGUACUGAUCUUGGAGGUCAUAACAGGACAUAGGGACUACCCCGACGUUACUAGAACACCUUCAGAUGACUUUAUCGAGCUUACGGUUGAGAAAUGGAGAAAUGUGUUGCAGAGAUCACGGGGGUAUGGAUCCCUAGAAACAUGUUGCAAGCAAAUAAAGAAAUGCCUCCAGGUAGGUUUAUUAUGCGUGAAUCCUGACCGCGCCAAGAGGCCGCCAAUAACGAACAUUAUCAGUGUGCUCCAAGAAUCUGAAAGAGUAUCGGCUGUGACAUUAGCAACAAGGCUGCGUUAUUGGUGGACCAGGUAUAUAUAUGAUCACUCAACGGUCAUGGAUGUUAUUUGCUACCCCUUUUCAUUGUCUUUCAGCAAUAUGGGUAAGCCAUCGCACCUCAAGGAUACACGCUAG